Molecule: long non-coding RNA, 249 nt
Filed under: Lathyrus oleraceus (garden pea)
Lineage: Eukaryota; Viridiplantae; Streptophyta; Magnoliopsida; Fabales; Fabaceae
Description: Pisum sativum (pea) long non-coding RNA (PSAT_LNC034790)
Source: RNAcentral
UGAAUCAGAAAUCCUCAGGACCCAACCCUUUGGUAUUGUCUAGCAGAAAUCAAGAGACAAACUCUUGAAAUCUCCUCGAGCAGUAUGCUGAUUUGGGGAUUAGACCUCCAUCAUGGGCUGUAAUCAUUCUCCUCCAAACGUGCAAACUUGGUUAACGUGCUUCAUUUAAUUAUUUAACAUCUAAGCUACUUCUAAUGAUGUCGUUCUGCAUGCAUCUAUAUGGGUAUAAAUUCAUUUUCAUCAAGUUCU